GGGUUAAGUCCCGCAACGAGCGCAACCCUUGUCAUUAGUUGCUACGAAAGGGCACUCUAAUGAGACUGCCGGUGGACAAACCGGGAGGAAGGUGGGGAUGACGUCAAGUCCUCACUUGGCCCUUAUGGGUAGGGCUUCACACGUCAUACAAUGGUCGGUACAGAGGGCUGCCAACCCGCAAGGGGGAGCCAAUCCCUUAAGACCGAUCGUAGUCCGGAUUGAGGUCUGCAACUCGACCUCAUGAAGUCGGAAUCGCUAGUAAUCGCGGAUCAGCAUGUCGCGGUGAAUACGUUCCCGGGUCUU
RNAcentral lists this ribosomal RNA (303 nucleotides) under uncultured Alcaligenaceae bacterium. Its description in RNAcentral is "bacterial SSU rRNA". It matches the Rfam family "Bacterial small subunit ribosomal RNA", at positions 1077 to 1382 of the family's 1533-position model. The record is from RNAcentral. Lineage: Bacteria; Pseudomonadati; Pseudomonadota; Betaproteobacteria; Burkholderiales; Alcaligenaceae.